AGCGAACGUUAGCGGCGGGCCUAACACAUGCAAGUCGAACGCGAAAGGUCUUCGGACUGAGUAGAGUGGCGCACGGGUGAGUAACACGUAGGUAAUCUACCCUUUGGCGGGGGAUAACGUUCCGAAAGGAGCGCUAAUACCGCAUAAGACCACGUGGUCUCCGGACCGAGUGGGAAAAGGUGGCCUCUUCUUGAAAGCUACCACCGAAGGAUGAGCCUGCGUCCCAUCAGCUAGUUGGUAAGGUAAUGGCUUACCAAGGCAAAGACGGGUAGCUGGUUUGAGAGAAUGAUCAGCCACACUGGCACUGGAACACGGGCCAGACUCCUACGGGAGGCAGCAGUGAGGAAUAUUGGGCAAUGGGCGAAAGCCUGACCCAGCCACGCCGCGUGAGUGAUGAAGGCCCUCGGGUCGUAAAGCUCUGUGGAGAGGGACGAAAACCCUGGUUUCAAAUAGGCUCCAGGCUUGACGGUACCUCCUUAGCAAGCACCGGCUAACUCUGUGCCAGCAGCCG
RNAcentral lists this ribosomal RNA (511 nucleotides) under uncultured bacterium. RNAcentral's name for it is "bacterial SSU rRNA". It matches the Rfam family "Bacterial small subunit ribosomal RNA", at positions 29 to 517 of the family's 1533-position model. The record is from RNAcentral.